UGUUGAAACACUGGUUCUCGUUCGAUCACCGAAGUUAAGCAACAUUGAGCCUGGUCAGUACCUAGGCAGGUGAACGCUUGGGAAUAUAAGGUGCUGUAA
Acanthosepion pharaonis is the source of this 99-nucleotide non-coding RNA. NCBI's taxonomy places the organism in Eukaryota, Metazoa, Mollusca, Cephalopoda, Sepiida, Sepiidae. The record is from the annotation of a GenBank genome assembly.